ACACGACUACAUUAGAUACCCGUGUAGUCCCAGCCCUAAACGAUGCGCGUUAGGUGUAUCGGUGACCACGAGUCACCGAGGUGCCGAAGGGAAACCGUGAAACGUGCCGCCUGGGAAGUACGGUCGCAAGGCUGAAACUUAAAGGAAUUGGCGGGGGAGCACAACAACGGGUGGAGCUUGCGGUUUAAUUGGAUUCAACGCCGGAAAUCUUACCGGGACCGACAGCAACAUGAAGGCCAAGCUGAAGACUUUGCCGGAUUAGCUG
RNAcentral lists this ribosomal RNA (265 nucleotides) under uncultured archaeon. Its description in RNAcentral is "partial 16S ribosomal RNA". It matches the Rfam family "Archaeal small subunit ribosomal RNA", at positions 719 to 982 of the family's 1478-position model. The record is from RNAcentral.